GUUUAUAUAGUUUAAACAAAAUUCUAAAUUGUGAAUUUAGAAAUGAAAACUAAAAAUUUUCUAUAAACC
This 69-nucleotide transfer RNA is filed under the name Hydromantes platycephalus (Mount Lyell salamander). RNAcentral describes it as "tRNA-His". Lineage: Eukaryota; Metazoa; Chordata; Amphibia; Caudata; Plethodontidae. The record is from RNAcentral.